GACGAACGCUGGCGGCGUGCUUAACACAUGCGAGUCGAACGGAAAGGCCCUGCUUUUGUGGGGUGCUCGAGUGGCGAACGGGUGAGUAACACGUGAGUAACCUGCCCUUGACUUUGGGAUAACUUCAGGAAACUGGGGCUAAUACCGGAUAGGAGCUCCUGCUGCAUGGUGGGGGUUGGAAAGUUUCGGCGGUUGGGGAUGGACUCGCGGCUUAUCAGCUUGUUGGUGGGGUAGUGGCUUACCAAGGCUUUGACGGGUAGCCGGCCUGAGAGGGUGACCGGCCACAUUGGGACUGAGAUACGGCCCAGACUCCCACGGGAGGCAGCAGUGGGGAAUAUUGCACAAUGGGCGGAAGCCUGAUGCAGCAACGCCGCGUGCGGGAUGACGGCCUUCGGGUUGUAAACCGCUUUCGCCUGUGACGAAGCGUGAGUGACGGUAAUGGGUAAAGAAGCACCGGCUAACUACGUG
Molecule: ribosomal RNA, 468 nt
Filed under: uncultured bacterium
Lineage: Bacteria
Description: partial 16S ribosomal RNA
Rfam family: Bacterial small subunit ribosomal RNA
Source: RNAcentral